Molecule: ribosomal RNA, 438 nt
Filed under: Agaricus campestris
Lineage: Eukaryota; Fungi; Basidiomycota; Agaricomycetes; Agaricales; Agaricaceae
Description: SSU rRNA
Rfam family: Eukaryotic small subunit ribosomal RNA
Source: RNAcentral
CUCCAAUAGCGUAUAUUAAAGUUGUUGCAGUUAAAAAGCCCGUAGUUGAACUUCAGACCUGGUGGGGUGGUCCGCUUAACGGCGUGUACUGCUCUGCUGGGCCUUACCUCUUGGUGAGCCGGCGUGGCCUUCACUGGUUGCGUCGGGGAACCAGGACUUUUACCUUGAGAAAAUUAGAGUGUUCAAAGCAGGCCUAUGCCUGAAUACAUUAGCAUGGAAUAAUAAAAUAGGACGUGCGGUUCUAUUUUGUUGGUUUCUAGAGUCGCCGUAAUGAUUAAUAGGGAUAGUUGGGGGCAUUGGUAUUGAGUCGCUAGAGGUGAAAUUCUUGGAUUGACUCAAGACCGACUACUGCGAAAGCAUUUGCCAAGGAUGUUUUCAUUAAUCAAGGACGAAGGUUAGGGGAUCGAAAACGAUCAGAUACCGUUGUAGUCUUAACAG